AUGCGUUGCCCACUGUCGUCCUCGAUCGGCCGGAGUCAUCCUCCUCCUCGUAUGCUCCUCCCAUGGCUCGGGCCUCGCCUCCUCCUCUUGGCUGUCGUCGUCCUCUCGGCGAUCAUCCCAGCACCGAUGCUCGCCGCGGCACCAGACGUCGGCGGCUGCAUGCCGGGGAAAUGCGGCAACCUGACAGUCUCCAUCCCGUUCGGUGUCGUCUCGGGCUCUGAGGAGAACCGGUGCGCCCAGAUGGGGUUCCAGGUCAACUGCAACGAAGGCGUCCCCUACCUCGGGUACUACGAGCCCGGGUUCGGGCUGCAGAUUCUCGAAAUCUUCUACAGCAACGGCUCCUUGCUCGUCUCCUACGUCCACAAGCUCGGCGGCUUCUCCAAUAGUUCGAGCUCCAAAGGCUGCCACGUCCCGACGGCCGAUACGGCAACCAAAGUCGGCCACCCGUUCUCCAUCAGCUCUCUCAACAAGAACCUCGUCUUCUACAACUGCACGAAGCCGCCGGCGCCGUGGACGGCGCGCCGAGCGGGGCUGGUGGACACGGUGUGCCGGAACAACACGUUUGUCCGCGCGGGAGGGUGGUACAACGAGACGGGCGGGAUUGACGGCGGCUACGCUCUGGAGGGCUGCACCGCCACCGCCGUGCCGGUGCUCGCGGCGUCCGGCGACGUGAAUGCCGGCGACUACGAGGAGCUCAUCAGGGAUGGCUUCCUCCUCACAUGGCUGCUGCCGCCUGGUAGCAAGAACAAAACGAAGAAGAUUAUACUAAUAGGUAUAACAUCAGCAGCUGCAACCAUUCUCUUUGCAUGUCUUUAUGUGCUGAUAUGGCAUGGAAAAGGGCAAGGACUAUGGUUUCUCCUUUGCAAGACUAGCAGCAAAACUGAAAAAAAAUACGAGGCAAUGAUAGUGUCGUAUGGAUCCCUAGCUCCAAAAAGAUACAUGUACUCAGAGGUAAUGAAGAUAACGUCUUCUCGCAAUAAUCAGCUUGGAAAAGGUGGUUAUGGUGUGGUUUUCAAAGGAAGAUUACAUGAUGGUCGUCUGGUUGCUGUGAAAUUCUUGCAUGACUGCAAAGGAAAUGGGGACGAGUUUGUGAACGAGGUUAUGAGCAUUGGAAGGACCUCUCAUGUUAAUGUUGUUAGCUUAUUUGGGUUUUGUUUGGAGGGAUCAAAACGAGCUCUUAUAUAUGAGUACAUGCCCAACGGUUCCUUGGAUAAGUACAUUUACUCAGAGAACCCCAAAGAAAUUUUAGGAUGGGAGAGGCUCUAUGCGAUAGCACUCGGGAUUGCUCGUGGCCUCGAAUACUUGCACCAUAGCUGUAAUACACGUAUCGUCCAUUUCGAUAUCAAGCCCCCAAAUAUCCUUCUAGACAAGGAUUUUAACCCGAAGAUUGCUGAUUUUGGUCUAGCUAAAUUGUGUCAAACAAAAGAGAGCAAGCUUUCAAUGACUGGUGCUAGAGGAACAAUUGGAUUCAUCGCUCCAGAAGUUCACUCUCGAACAUUUGGAGUGGUUUCAACAAAGUCAGAUGUUUAUAGUUAUGGAAUGAUGCUUUUGGAGAUGGUUGGAGGCAGGAGAAAUGUAAAAUCAACUGUUGCAAAAUCAAGCGAAAAGUAUUUUCCAGACUAGAUUUACGAUCACUUUGCACAAGAUGAUGGACUACAAGCAUGUGAAGUGACAAGAGAAAUUGAGGAGAUUGCGAGAAAGAUGACAUUCAUUGGCUUGUGGUGCAUACAAGUGUUACCUAUGUAUCGCCCUACUAUAACCAAAGUUCUAGAAAUGUUCGAGAGAAGCUCAGAUGACAUGGACAUGCCACCGAAGCAAAACUUCUCUGGAUUGCUUGAAAGUUCAGCUCACAAUAUGGAUGUACAAAGUUCAAGUUCUACCAGAUCUGAGGAGAUCAGCCUUGUGAAUUCAAAAAUCGUACAACAAUCGCCAACUCUUUGA
RNAcentral lists this ribosomal RNA (1941 nucleotides) under Triticum aestivum (bread wheat). RNAcentral's name for it is "partial small subunit ribosomal RNA". Lineage: Eukaryota; Viridiplantae; Streptophyta; Magnoliopsida; Poales; Poaceae. The record is from RNAcentral.